RNAcentral lists this ribosomal RNA (420 nucleotides) under uncultured bacterium. RNAcentral's name for it is "bacterial SSU rRNA". It matches the Rfam family "Bacterial small subunit ribosomal RNA", at positions 355 to 773 of the family's 1533-position model. The record is from RNAcentral.
UAAGGAAUAUUGGUCAAUGGACGCAAGUCUGAACCAGCCAUGCCGCGUGAAGGAUGAAGGUCCUCUGGAUUGUAAACUUCUUUUAUCUGGGACGAAAACGGGAUUUUUAUCUCAAUUGACGGUACCAGAGGAAUAAGCACCGGCUAACUCCGUGCCAGCAGCCGCGGUAAUACGGAGGGUGCGAGCGUUAUCCGGAUUUACUGGGUUUAAAGGGUGCGUAGGUGGGCUUAUAAGUCAGUGGUGAAAUCUCCGAGCUUAACUUGGAAACUGCCGUUGAUACUAUAGGUCUUGAAUUAUCUGGAGGGAAGCGGAAUAUGUCAUGUAGCGGUGAAAUGCUUAGAUAUGACAUAGAACACCAAUUGCGAAGGCAGCUUACUACAUAUAAAUUGACGCUGAGGCACGAAAGCGUGGGGAUCAAAC